AAAGACUCAAUUCCUGAGUUUCCGUGUCCAACGUUUGAAUGUUCGUCUUAUAUGAAAUUUCUUUAUGAUUAGUAUUUUUAUUGUUGUUAGAUGACAAAACAUGAAUAAUACUUUACGCGUGACUUAUUUUUUUAAAUUUUUUCAUAAUUUUUUCAAAUAACACGGACGGUCAAACGUUGGACACGGAAACUCAGAAAUUGAGUUAUU
Molecule: non-coding RNA, 207 nt
Organism: Oryza meridionalis
Lineage: Eukaryota; Viridiplantae; Streptophyta; Magnoliopsida; Poales; Poaceae
Source: Rfam